Molecule: long non-coding RNA, 325 nt
Organism: Capsicum annuum
Lineage: Eukaryota; Viridiplantae; Streptophyta; Magnoliopsida; Solanales; Solanaceae
Exons: 4
Source: RefSeq, a predicted model, not a curated record
UUCUGUUGGCAAGUUUCUAUACCAUGAACUUAGUGCUGUUGACGGGGCUAUCACCAUCACUUGUCUAAUGGUGGCCAAUCUUGUUGGUUUUGUCAUUGGAUCAUCGGGGAUCAAUUGGUUGCUCUAUAAAUUUCUCCAGAAAGAAGGACUACCUACUCUUGGUGGCAUGUUUAUUACGUUUUACGUUGGAACUAAGCUGAUGUUUCACAUAUCUGAUGCCAAGCAAAAACGCAUCCACAGCUGAUGACAAAGGUUCAUUCCUGGGCAAGCAGAUCACAAACAACAUGAUACAAAACCCAUUAGCAUCUACAGUGUGUUCCCAUGU